GGGUUGUGAGGUUAAGCGACUAAGCGUACACGGUGGAUGCCCUGGCAGUCAGAGGCGAUGAAGGACGUGCUAAUCUGCGAUAAGCGUCGGUAAGGUGAUAUGAACCGUUAUAACCGGCGAUUUCCGAAUGGGGAAACCCAGUGUGAUUCGUCACACUAUCAUUAACUGAAUCCAUAGGUUAAUGAGGCGAACCGGGGGAACUGAAACAUCUAAGUACCCCGAGGAAAAGAAAUCAACCGAGAUUCCCCCAGUAGCGGCGAGCGAACGGGGAGCAGCCCAGAGCCUGAAUCAGUGUGUGUGUUAGUGGAAGCGUCUGGAAAGGCGCGCGAUACAGGGUGACAGCCCCGUACACAAAAAUGCACAUGCUGUGAGCUCGAUGAGUAGGGCGGGACACGUGGUAUCCUGUCUGAAUAUGGGGGACCAUCCUCCAAGGCUAAAUACUCCUGACUGACCGAUAGUGAACCAGUACCGUGAGGGAAAGGCGAAAAGAACCCGGCGAGGGGAGUGAAAAAGAACCUGAAACCGUGUACGUACAAGCAGUGGGAGCCUCUUUAUGGGGUGACUGCGUACCUUUUGUAUAAUGGGUCAGCGACUUAUAUUCUGUAGCAAGGUUAACCGAAUAGGGGAGCCGAAGGGAAACCGAGUCUUAACUGGGCGUUAAGUUGCAGGGUAUAGACCCGAAACCCGGUGAUCUAGCCAUGGGCAGGUUGAAGGUUGGGUAACACUAACUGGAGGACCGAACCGACUAAUGUUGAAAAAUUAGCGGAUGACUUGUGGCUGGGGGUGAAAGGCCAAUCAAACCGGGAGAUAGCUGGUUCUCCCCGAAAGCUAUUUAGGUAGCGCCUCGUGAAUUCAUCUCCGGGGUAGAGCACUGUUUCGGCAAGGGGGUCAUCCCGACUUACCAACCCGAUGCAAACUGCGAAUACCGGAGAAUGUUAUCACGGGAGACACACGGCGGGUGCUAACGUCCGUCGUGAAGAGGGAAACAACCCAGACCGCCAGCUAAGGUCCCAAAGUCAUGGUUAAGUGGGAAACGAUGUGGGAAGGCCCAGACAGCCAGGAUGUUGGCUUAGAAGCAGCCAUCAUUUAAAGAAAGCGUAAUAGCUCACUGGUCGAGUCGGCCUGCGCGGAAGAUGUAACGGGGCUAAACCAUGCACCGAAGCUGCGGCAGCGACGCUUAUGCGUUGUUGGGUAGGGGAGCGUUCUGUAAGCCUGCGAAGGUGUGCUGUGAGGCAUGCUGGAGGUAUCAGAAGUGCGAAUGCUGACAUAAGUAACGAUAAAGCGGGUGAAAAGCCCGCUCGCCGGAAGACCAAGGGUUCCUGUCCAACGUUAAUCGGGCAGGGUGAGUCGACCCCUAAGGCGAGGCCGAAAGGCGUAGUCGAUGGGAAACAGGUUAAUAUUCCUGUACUUGGUGUUACUGCGAAGGGGGGACGGAGAAGGCUAUGUUGGCCGGGCGACGGUUGUCCCGGUUUAAGCGUGUAGGCUGGUUUUCCAGGCAAAUCCGGAAAACUAAGGCUGAGGCGUGAUGACGAGGCACUACGGUGCUGAAGCAACAAAUGCCCUGCUUCCAGGAAAAGCCUCUAAGCAUCAGGUAACAUCAAAUCGUACCCCAAACCGACACAGGUGGUCAGGUAGAGAAUACCAAGGCGCUUGAGAGAACUCGGGUGAAGGAACUAGGCAAAAUGGUGCCGUAACUUCGGGAGAAGGCACGCUGAUAUGUAGGUGAAGCGACUUGCUCGUGGAGCUGAAAUCAGUCGAAGAUACCAGCUGGCUGCAACUGUUUAUUAAAAACACAGCACUGUGCAAACACGAAAGUGGACGUAUACGGUGUGACGCCUGCCCGGUGCCGGAAGGUUAAUUGAUGGGGUUAGCGCAAGCGAAGCUCUUGAUCGAAGCCCCGGUAAACGGCGGCCGUAACUAUAACGGUCCUAAGGUAGCGAAAUUCCUUGUCGGGUAAGUUCCGACCUGCACGAAUGGCGUAAUGAUGGCCAGGCUGUCUCCACCCGAGACUCAGUGAAAUUGAACUCGCUGUGAAGAUGCAGUGUACCCGCGGCAAGACGGAAAGACCCCGUGAACCUUUACUAUAGCUUGACACUGAACAUUGAGCCUUGAUGUGUAGGAUAGGUGGGAGGCUUUGAAGUGUGGACGCCAGUCUGCAUGGAGCCGACCUUGAAAUACCACCCUUUAAUGUUUGAUGUUCUAACGUUGACCCGUAAUCCGGGUUGCGGACAGUGUCUGGUGGGUAGUUUGACUGGGGCGGUCUCCUCCUAAAGAGUAACGGAGGAGCACGAAGGUUGGCUAAUCCUGGUCGGACAUCAGGAGGUUAGUGCAAUGGCAUAAGCCAGCUUGACUGCGAGCGUGACGGCGCGAGCAGGUGCGAAAGCAGGUCAUAGUGAUCCGGUGGUUCUGAAUGGAAGGGCCAUCGCUCAACGGAUAAAAGGUACUCCGGGGAUAACAGGCUGAUACCGCCCAAGAGUUCAUAUCGACGGCGGUGUUUGGCACCUCGAUGUCGGCUCAUCACAUCCUGGGGCUGAAGUAGGUCCCAAGGGUAUGGCUGUUCGCCAUUUAAAGUGGUACGCGAGCUGGGUUUAGAACGUCGUGAGACAGUUCGGUCCCUAUCUGCCGUGGGCGCUGGAGAACUGAGGGGGCUGCUCCUAGUACGAGAGGACCGGAGUGGACGCAUCACUGGUGUUCGGGUUGUCAUGCCAAUGGCACUGCCCGGUAGCUAAAUGCGGAAGAGAUAAGUGCUGAAAGCAUCUAAGCACGAAACUUGCCCCGAGAUGAGUUCUCCCUGACCCUUUAAGGGUCCUGAAGGAACGUUGAAGACGACGACGUUGAUAGGCCGGGUGUGUAAGCGCAGCGAUGCGUUGAGCUAACCGGUACUAAUGAACCGUGAGGCUUAACCUUACAACGCCGAAGGUGUUU
Molecule: ribosomal RNA, 2925 nt
Filed under: Escherichia coli
Lineage: Bacteria; Pseudomonadati; Pseudomonadota; Gammaproteobacteria; Enterobacterales; Enterobacteriaceae
Description: bacterial LSU rRNA
Rfam family: Bacterial large subunit ribosomal RNA
Source: RNAcentral